Rana temporaria (common frog) is the source of this 827-nucleotide long non-coding RNA. RefSeq lists it as uncharacterized. The record is from RefSeq and is a predicted model, not a curated record. The transcript is spliced from 2 exons. NCBI's taxonomy places the organism in Eukaryota, Metazoa, Chordata, Amphibia, Anura, Ranidae.
CUCUUCUUAUGGAGGAGCAGGGAAUUCAGCUAAAGAAUCUACCUGAUUCCCUAAACAAGCUGGUUGAAAAUUAAAACAAUCCAUGUCUACCGAGAGCUUACAAUUCAGCUGAUUGGCCCUUUAAUAAUGCGGAUCAAAGAGCAAUGAUGAUGUCAUGUAUGAGGCCACCAGAAUCACCAUUCUUCAGUUUGGAGCACUCAAGAGAGUGAAAGAUAAUUGCUGAUUAAUUGAUAUGGGUUACUGCAUUUUGCUUAAUUAGAGAACCUGAAUAUCCAUUAAUGCCUCACAUGAUACCACAAAUUUGUACUUGUUGGAUAAUGAUAACAAACAUAUUUUUUCUUCCAGUAAAUGAAAAUGGUAUCUAUAAAGAAUCAUUGUAUUAAGCACAGGUUCUGGUCCUGCAUAUUCUUCAAUUACAAAGAACUGGUUCCAGACCCAACUACGUUUGGACCGUGGAGGAGGGCCAGGCCCCUGAGGGGGAGAUGAUGAAGACCCAGCCUCUCCACUAAGACCAGGAGACAUGUCCUCCAAAACUGGCACAGUGGAGGAGCAGCCCAGAAGAAGCAGAGAGAGUAGAGGACACAAGUGAAGGGCAGGCAUUGGGAAGAUGCAAACCCGGUCGAAGAAUAAGUCCACUGGACAGAAGUCACAACAAACUGCAACUUCUUUGUUGUUUGGUGAAACCUUCCAUGUAGUUAAGAGGUGAAAUUUACAAUGCACCUCAAUCCAUGUGAUGUGAAACUGGCAGAGAAAAAAGGCAAGAGAGGAAGAAAAGGUUACAAUGUAGGACUAUUUGGCCUCCCCUUCAUCAUUAAAGCAUUUUCAGC